This is a long non-coding RNA of Antechinus flavipes (yellow-footed antechinus), 5303 nucleotides long. RefSeq lists it as uncharacterized. The record is from RefSeq and is a predicted model, not a curated record. The transcript has 2 exons. Lineage: Eukaryota; Metazoa; Chordata; Mammalia; Dasyuromorphia; Dasyuridae.
CGCUUGCGCAAUUCAUGGGCUGGAGCUCGCCUUAGAAAGUAGGUGGGCUUGAUAAUUUCUGGCCUCCCUCGCACCGCCCGUGGUUGCCAGGACAACACAGCACCUGUACAACUCACCCCCUGAAGAGGCCCAGGUGCUGCUGCCAGCUGAUUCCGGGAUGUCACUGGGAAGAUGGGAAGUCCAGCAUCCUCCGAACCCUUCAAAUCUCCCAAGAGCCUCCUCCAGCCAAAGUGGGGAGGGAGAAAGGACUUAGGCCAAAGCCAAAGAGGAAGUUCCUUCUCAGGGGAAUUGGGUAAAUGCCACACUUGUCCUCAACUUUCACAUGAAUCUGGUUCUAAGUAGCUUAGCAGUUCUGAAUGAUUACAGAAACAUGGCCAAUUUUUCUGAGCUCAUCAGAACAUGUACAAUAUCAAUUUGAGGGACUUUUUGAAUUUAAUAAUAAUAAAAACCAGAAUAUAGAUAGCAUUUGAAGGUUUGUAAAGUGAUUUAUAUUAUGUCAUUUUAUCUGCACAACAACCCUGGGAGAUAGGGGCUAUUAUUAUCCAGGUACAGAUGAGAAAAUUGAGGCAAACUAAAAUUAAGUGACUUGCCCAAGAUCAUACAGGUAAUGAAUGUCUGAAACUGGAUUUGAAUUCAGGUCUUCCUGGCUCCUGGGCCAGUACUCUACCCAUAACAUAUACAGGCUAAAAUGAGGUGGGCUGGUUUUGACCCUUCCCUCACAGUAGCAUGGGGAAAUGGGAGAGACAAUAUUGUAUAUAGCAAUUGGACCAGUAUGGUAUAUAUGAAAGUCAAUGAUGUAAAAAUCCAUUUAGAAAGAAAUAGAGCAACUACUUUGUGAGCAGCUUUAAAGUUCCACUAAAGUAAUUUGUGCUUUAUCCUUGAGUCAGUAGAACAUUUCCUGGAGCUUUUUUGAUCAAAGGGAUAUUUUAAGAGUUAUCAUUUCAGCAGCUUUGUGGAGAAUGGAUUAUGGAGAGGGAAAACUUGAGGCAGAGAGACUGAGAAGCCUGCUUCAACAAAGAGAUACAAAUGCCAAGGACUUAAAUUGGAGUAGGAGUUACAGGGAUGAAAAAAUGGGGUGGAAUCAAGACCUAACAACUUAUUGGAUUUAUAUAUGUGUGUAUGUAACUGAUUGGAGGGAGCAGGAAUUGUCAGGAAUGAUUCCACAAUUGUAAACCUGGGUAAUUGAAAGGAUAAUGGUCUUUUUUUUUUCUCAUUAGUAAUUGAAUGUGAAGAUAUUUUCAACAUUCAUUUUUGUAGGAUUUUGAGUUCCAAAUUUUUUUUCUCUUCCCUCACUUCCCUCCUCCCCAAGACAGUAAGCAAUCUGAUGUAGAUUAUACAUAUACAAUCCUUUUAAAUAUAUUUCCAUAUUUGUCAUGUUAUGAUCAAAAGGAAAAAAAAACUACAAGAAAGAAAAGGCAAACAAAAAAAUGAAAAUACUAUAUUUCCAUCCACAUCCUGUCUCCAUAGUUCUUUGUCUGGGUACCGACAAUAUUUUAAAGAUGAUGAUACUCUUAAUAUGAAAUAGGAAAGUUGGAAAGUAGGAGAGGAUUUAUGGGAAAGAUAAUGAGUUCCAUAUUAGACGUGCUAGAUUUGAGAUACCUUUGGGGUUAUCCCUAUGGUCCAGCAGGAGGUUGGUGAUAUGGCCCUGAAGCUCAGGGGAAAGAUGAAAGUAGACUAUGUAGAUUUGGAAGUCAGCUACAUAGAGAUGACAAUUAAAUCCAUGGAAGCUGAUGAGAUCACCUAGAUAGAAAGCUAUAGAGAGUGAAGGGAGGCACCCCUCCAAAAAAUAAAGAAGGUCCCAGCUAGAUUCCUGGAAUAUAUCAAGGAGAGGACACAGGACGGAUGAAAAUCCUGUAGAGGAAACUGAUACAGACGCAUAUUCAAUAGUUCAGAAGAAAACCAGGUUAGAUCAGUGACCUGAAAUGCCAGACAAGAGAGACCAUGUCAUUGGUAUCAGAUGAUGCAGAAAGAUUGAGAAGGAUAAGGACUUAGAUAAGACCGACCCUUGGCAAUCUUGGCAAUGUGUCUCAGCUCAGUGAUGGAAUCAGAAGCCAGCCUGAAAAGGGCUACAAAGAAGAGGGGAUGAUGAGGAAGUCCAAGAAUGAGCAAUGGUAACUCCAAAUUAGCUGCUUCUAAGAGUUUGGUUUGUGAAAAAGAGGAAACAUGAGAGGAUAGAGUCAAGGGAAGGCAUUCUAAGAAUGGAAAUCUAAGCAUUUUUGUAGGUAGCAAGAAAGGAACUAGUGGAUGUAAGGAAAUUGAAGAUUAGAAAGGAAAUGAUUGAAGCCAAGUCCCUGGAGAAUAUGAGAAGGAAUGGGAUUGAAAGCACAAGAAGAGGGAUUAGCCUCGGCAAGAAGGACCACCUUUUCCUUUAAGACAAGAGCAAAGGAGGAGAAAAUGGAGCAUGGUAUUGAAGGGACCGGAAUAUAGAAUUGGGGGAAAAUGGGAUAAAUGCAUAAUAAAUAGUUUCCAUUUUCUCAGAACAGUAUGAUAGAAGGUUCCCUGCAGAAAGGGAGUUAUGAGAAUGUGGUCUAGGUAGCUUUAAUAGAAGAGAAGGUCUGAAAUAGCUGCUGUAGUAAAUGGAUUACUAUAAAUCACUGAGGGCCUGGUUGAAAUAAGAUAAAGUAAGUUAGUAACAUUAUUGUGUGAAUUGCAAUGGUAGCAUUCAAUAACUUGCAAGUUCUAAUGAAGAAGGUAGAUGGAGAGGGUCAUUCAACAUUAGAACUUAGAAAGAAGGUGUUGCGAUAAAACAGUGGGGUGAGAAAUUCAAGGGUUAGAGUACAAUGUUAAGUUCAACUGGCUAAUUGUAGGGUCAAGACUGGAAAGGGAAAAAGGAAGCCAAAAAAGGGGCACUGGGCUGAGAAAGUUGGAGAGUGACUGAAGCAUGUGAUGAGGUUUAAGAGUUGUUUGGGAGGAAUACAUCAGGGAAAAAAAGAAGGAAAAUAGUUAUAGUCUCAGAGAAGAAUCUCAGAGUUCUGGAUGGCAAGGUAUAUUUUUCUUCACUGAAGUGUUUCUGUUCAGUAGAAUAUUAAUAUCAAUAAAUUCCAAAUAAUUUCUUUCAAAUAAAGCUUCACUUUAAUGGCUUAAUUUUUUUUUUUGGGGGGGGGGCAGUCAAGAUUCGUGAACUUGCUCAGGUAGUAAAUAUCUGAGGCUGAACUUGAACUUAGGGCCUCCUGACUAAACUUCCCCACCUCACUGCCCCAUAACAUAUGAUUUUCAAAUCAAUAAGUAUUCAUCAAGAGCCUCUGGAUCCAGUGAUGAUAACACAAAAGGCACCUUCAUUUUAAAGUCAAAGAGAGAGCAGAUUGGCGUGUGUGACUGAUUUGUAAGAUGGUGGAAAAGGGAAAACUAUGGAGUAAUAACCAUGAUUGACUAACCCUCUCUCCCAACCCUAUCAUGUCAUCAAGUCUUAUCAGUUCUUUGUUAGCUGGGGCUUCUUAUGUUUGCCUGUUUGUCUUGAUUCAUAGCCAUCAACCUAAUUCAGUUUUUAAGCCCCUUCUCCUUAAUGACUGUAAACAACAUGGCACCAUAUCAAUCUAACCUAUGUAUCAUAGUAUUAAUAACAGAUUAAUAUUUCUAAAACAUUCCUCCCCCUAUCAGAAACCUAAAAUCACUCCCAGUUUAUAUAUAAAAUCCUAGAAAUCACAAUAAUUUAGAACAGAAAGGAUGCUCAAUCCAACCUCAAUUUUCAUACGAGAAAACAGACCUCACAGAAAUGAAGCAGUUUGGCUGGAGUCACACAUAUAAUCUGUGACAAAGCCAAGGCUAAAAUUCUUCAGCCUGACAUUUAAAACCCAGGGCCUCCUUUCCUAAUACAACCUAUUCUUUUGCUAAUCCCUAAAUUAGGCUGAUCUAUUUACUGUCUCUGGGAAAUAAUCUUGCUUAAACAACAAAUAUUUCAAGGCACUCUGCUGCCUUUGCUCCUGUGCACUAAUACCCAUGCUAUCCCUUUAGAAUGCCAGAAUUUUUAAAUUAUAGCUUGAAACUGACCUUGGUCAUGAAAUUUUCCCCAACACUGUUCCAUCACUGAUCUUUCCCUUCCUCUGAAUGUAUCUUAGUAGUUAGAUAUGUCAUCUUUGCUCCACCAAUGUGUAAUUAUUUAUGUAACUAUAUAUACUACACAUAGAUAUGACAUCUACCUGUCACCUGUGUCUCCAAGAAGCUAUAGCCUUGCCCAGCAGCCACAUCCAAGCAAACCAUCUUGGCAGACGGGAUAAACUGACCCUCAAACCCUUGGUGGGUUAAGGGAUUAUCUACCUAAGCAUGUGAAGACUUGUGCAGGUGGAAUGAACAGGUGGGAACAGUUUGUUCCAGCAGCCACAAAGAUGCAUCUUUGUGGCUGCUUUGAGCUUGGCCAUUGCCAGGCUUCUGUGACUGGACUUUGAUGACUCACUUAGAAAGUGAGAGGCACAACUUUGUGCAGCUUUCCCAUACUUAAAUUCAAUUUACUGGCCAGUCACUCUGUGAUGUCAUUGAUUCUCUUCAAUACAAAGAAAAACAGAGGCAAGAGGGAUGAGAUUGGAAUGCACUGGGAGAAAGGGAAUAGGAGAAGUGGAAUGGUGCAAAUUAUCUGCCAUUUUAAAGAGGCAAAAAAAGGCUUUUACAGUGGAGGGAAUGAGCAGGAGAACAGGGGGAGUGAGUGAAUCUUACUCUAGUCAGAAAUGAAUCAAAGAGGAAAUAUUUAGGAGGGGGUAUCUCUCUUAUCCUGCAGGGAAAUUGGAGGGGAAUGGGAUAUGGAAAGGAGAAAGGGUAACAAAAGAGAGGACAUAUUGGAGGAGGUAGUGGCCAGUACCAGGAACAGAGUAAAAGGAGAGAGGAAAAAAAGGGGGAAAAAAAGUUAGCAAUAGUAAUUAUAAAAGGAAUUUUGAAGCAAGUUUCUCUGAUAAGGUCUAAUUUUUCAAACAGAAGGAACUGAAUCAAAUUUAUAAAAAAUAUGAACCAUGCCCCAAUUGAUAAAUGAUCAAAAGAUAUGAUCUGUACCCCCAGGACUAUAAAUUCAUACAUUUUCUUUGACCUAAUAAUACCACUGCUAGGCAUGAAUACCAAAAAGAGAUUAAAAAAAAAAAAAAAAAAAGGAAAAUGACCUAUAUAUACAAAAGGUAUUCAUAGCAACUUUCUUCUCAGGGCAAAAAAAUUGGAAAUGGAGGAAAUGUCUAUCAAUUAGAGAAUGGCUCAAUAUACUGUGGUAUGUGUUUGUGAUGGAAUAUUAUUCUAUGGGAAAUGAUGAUGAGGAUGCUCUCAGAAACAAAAACCUGGAGAGUCCUCCAUGAAUUCAAGUACAGUGAAAUGUAUUGUAAACAAAAUAA